UGUGCACAGCUUGUGGCUGGAUGGGAUUCACGUGGGUUUGCCUGGAGGCGUUGCUGUGCGCAGCCUGUGGCUGGAUGGGGUUCACGUCGGUUUUGCUGUGAAGAGACCAAACACUACAGAUUGAAGCUGGGUGCCUGAUGGACACCUGCUCGUGUGCUUCUCUGUAAGUAUUUGCAUUGUCGCAGUUGCAAGCACCCAUUUCACUGAGAAUCACUGCUGCAUCAUCGCAGUUGCAAGCGCGCAUUUGCUGAGAAUCACUGUUGCCUCCAUGGGGUCCUGUCCUAUGGGCGAUCCCUAUCUAGUUGGGAACUCUGUGCCAGGAGCUCCAAUGCUUCCCAUCUUACUAAGUUCUACACUGACUACAGUGAUAGGUAACGUCUGUUUUCCUGCAAUGCUUAAAUAUUGUUUCUACCUCCACCUUUGGCAGCUAUGUGGCAGACAAUUUAAUCACUGUUAGGCA
RNAcentral lists this long non-coding RNA (460 nucleotides) under Pongo abelii (Sumatran orangutan). RNAcentral's name for it is "lincRNA". The record is from RNAcentral. Lineage: Eukaryota; Metazoa; Chordata; Mammalia; Primates; Hominidae.